AUUGAACGCUGGCGGCAUGCCUUACACAUGCAAGUCGAACGGCAGCGGGGGAGAAGCUUGCUUUUCCUGCCGGCGAGUGGCGAACGGGUGAGUAAUACAUCGGAACGUGCCCUGUAGUGGGGGAUAACUAGUCGAAAGAUUAGCUAAUACCGCAUACGACCUGAGGGGGAAAGUGGGGGACCGCAAGGCCUCAUGCUAUAGGAGCGGCCGAUGUCUGAUUAGCUAGUUGGUGGGGUAAAGGCCUACGAAGGCGACGAUCAGUAGCUGGUCUGAGAGGACGAUCAGCCACACUGGGACUGAGACACGGCCCAGACUCCUACGGGAGGCAGCAGUGGGGAAUUUUGGACAAUGGGCGAAAGCCUGAUCCAGCAAUGCCGCGUGUGUGGAGAAGGCCUUCGGGUUGUAAGGCACCUUUGUCCGGAGAGAAAUGGCUCUGGUUAAUACCUGGGGUCGAUGACGGUACCGGAAGAAUAAGGACCGGCUAACUACGUGCCAGCCGCCGCCGUAA
RNAcentral lists this ribosomal RNA (508 nucleotides) under uncultured bacterium. Its description in RNAcentral is "partial 16S ribosomal RNA". It matches the Rfam family "Bacterial small subunit ribosomal RNA", at positions 29 to 523 of the family's 1533-position model. The record is from RNAcentral.